RNAcentral lists this long non-coding RNA (1158 nucleotides) under Pan troglodytes (chimpanzee). Its description in RNAcentral is "lncRNA (ENSPTRG00000054065.1)". Lineage: Eukaryota; Metazoa; Chordata; Mammalia; Primates; Hominidae. The record is from RNAcentral.
GGAGGCCACGUGACAGCAGUGGGCCGGCCCUCCGGCUGAGCCCUGAUCUCUAUGGUUUCCGCGGCUCGCUAGAAGGAGUGUGGUCCACUGGAGGACUCCCUACAUUCUUCCUCCAUUACCUCACUGCCUCCGGUGGCUGCUGGGAUACCGGAGGACUCGGGUCCCGGCUCGACUCAGUCUUCCAGCCGCCCGGGGAACACCUCUAGUUCUUCCCGGCCUCCUUCGCCCCGCCCCGUCCGCGCAGCGCGUCCGGCCCGCCCGCAGGCCAGCUUCUCUCGGGAGCCCCCACCCAGGCGCAUGGCUCCAUGAAGCAAGAGGAGGAGGCAGAGCGCGAGAGGUCCCGUCCGCCCCAGCCGCGUCUGGGCCAGGAGAAAAGGUGGGAAACUCGGGCUGCACCGCACCCUUCUCCCCGCUGCCGGGCCAGGCCUCCCUCGGUCCGCCGCCGCCUUGCCCGCCGGGCCUGUUCUCGCCGGGGCGGGCGGCGGGGCCGGGAAGAGACCCCGCGGUCCUGGGGCGAGGGUCCGGGGGCAGCGUGGGGGAGGGGUCCCGGGCGGCGGGCGGGGCCUCAGGCCAUGUCCCAGCGGAGGGGAGGGGGUCGGGAGGCACUGCCGGGGAGGGGCGGGCGGCGCCGUGCCCCGGGCCGCGAGGCUCGGCUCCCGCUCCUGGUCCUUGUCUGCACUCUCUCCAGGAAGCAGGCUCGCUCGCUGUAAUGUUUGGUGGUCUCCGGCGCCGCCUGGCGGCCCCCACCCACCGUCCCGCCGCCCCGCCGCCCCCUCCCCCGCCCGGCGUCUGGAUUGCACCCCCGCGGCUCGGCCCAAGCUGCUCUACCCGUCGCUCCAUCGUCUCCCCAACUCCCCAGCGCCCCGGACCCUCUUUCCUCAUACCCUCGUUUCUCACCUUUCACCCUGUCCCUCGGCCCGCUUUUCCCGUCCCCGCUCUGUCCUGUCGUUUUCUUAACACUCUUCACAGGCGCACUUCCUCCUCCUCCUCCUCUUCUCUUUUUCCCACCCCUACCCUUGGGCCCUCCUUCCUUAACCUCCGCUGGCCCCCCAUUCCAUGAUCCGUCCACCUGACACGCUGGGUUUCAUGCCUCUCUUUCCCAGGCUGUGGGUUGUGCCCUUCACUCCUUGCCCUCCUCCAUUCCCUGUCCUGAUCUGA